GACGAACGCUGGCGGCGUGCUUAACACAUGCAAGUCGAACGGAAAGGCCCUGCUUUUGUGGGGUGCUCGAUUGGCGAACGGGGGAGUAACACGUGAGUAACCUGCCCUUGACUUUGGGAUAACUUCAGGAAACUGGGGCGCAUACAGGAUAGGAGCUCCUGCUGCACGGGGGGGGAUGGAAAGUUUCGGCGGUUGGGGAUGGACUCGCGGCUUAUCAGCUUGUUGGGGGGGUAGGGGCGUUCCAGGGCUUUGACGGGUAGCCGGCCUGAGAGAGUGACCGGCCACCUUGGGCCUGCGGUACGGCCCAGACUCCUACGGGACGCAGCAGUGGGGAAUAUUGCACAAUGGGCCGAAGCCUGAUGCAGCAGCGCCGCGUGCGGGAUGACGGCCUUCGGGUUGUAAACCGCUUUCGCCUGUGCCGAGGCGUGCGUGACGGUAAUGGGUCAAGAAGCCCCGGCUAACUACGUG
RNAcentral lists this ribosomal RNA (468 nucleotides) under uncultured bacterium. RNAcentral's name for it is "partial 16S ribosomal RNA". It matches the Rfam family "Bacterial small subunit ribosomal RNA", at positions 28 to 507 of the family's 1533-position model. The record is from RNAcentral.